GCGCUACCGUCCACCGCCGAUUCAUUUGAUGCUAACGCGAUGGGCUCCCUACUCUCGUGCAUCUCCGACACCGAACCUCGCCCAUCUCCGCCGUCCCGCCGCCGCACGCCGCCGGGCGCCAAGUCCCGCCGUGAAGCCCUAACCCGCGAGGAGCACGCCAUGGCAGCGGCAGCCGCGAUGCUUCUACAGCAGAACGGCGUCUCGCUGCCGUUCGACCGCUCGUCGUCGCUUCGGUAUCCG
RNAcentral lists this unclassified non-coding RNA (240 nucleotides) under Hevea brasiliensis (rubber tree). Lineage: Eukaryota; Viridiplantae; Streptophyta; Magnoliopsida; Malpighiales; Euphorbiaceae. The record is from RNAcentral.